Lemur catta (Ring-tailed lemur) is the source of this 925-nucleotide long non-coding RNA. RefSeq lists it as uncharacterized. The transcript is spliced from 3 exons. Lineage: Eukaryota; Metazoa; Chordata; Mammalia; Primates; Lemuridae. The record is from RefSeq and is a predicted model, not a curated record.
GUGAUCCUCCUGCCUCAGCCUCCUGAGUAGCUGGGACUACAGGCCCCCGAGACACAUCCACCAACACCAGGGAGUGCCUUGCACGUACAGCCCUUCUCCUUACCCUGCAGCCCGGCCGAGGGACACUGCCAGCCCUGGUUCACAGAGGAGGAGCCGAGUCCACCCGAGUCUGGAGAGUCAGGGCCUGGUCAGGCCUGGCUGUCCCCUGGGCCUGAGUCUGCUCCUGGUUCUCCGCCGGGUCCGCAUGGGGCAGCAGGGCUGAGAAGGACCUUCUGCCUGGACCUGCUCUCGGGCAGGAUCUGGACAUCAUGGGCAGAAGCCUUAGGGCUGUGACGAGCACCCCUUCGUGGCCAAGCAGUUUUAGCUUGGCUGCCCCAGGCCUGCAUGUGAGCAAGAUGUCUAAGUAUGGAGAGGACGGGUAGGGGAGCCUUAGCAGGAGUCUAAGCCAGGAAGCUGGCAGUGGCUGCCCAGGAGGGAGGAGGCCAAGCAACCACCGAUCGCUUUGCCUUUCCUGUUUGCCUGUUCCGAACAUUUCAUACAAAUGGGAUCACGCAGCGUCAUUGGUAACUUACUGUUUCCACAGUGGCUGUACCAUUUUGCUUUCCCAUCAGCUGUGUAAGAGAGUUCCAAUAUCUCUAUAUCCUCAAUAAUACUUUUUUUUAAGUGAAAUUUUUAUUUAGUGCUAAUACAGUAUCUUUUAAAUUAAAAACUAGACAAAUCUUUUUGUACCUUUUGAGGUUUCCUUUUAAGCCACAUGCCUAUAUUAUCUAUUUAAAGAAUAAUUUUACAAAUGCAUGCACAGGGACAAACCAUAAAGCUGCACCACCUGGAUCCAAGAUCCCCUUUCCCCAAAGACCGCCCAUUCUCGGUUCUUCAACAACACUUUCCUCAACCUUAAAGAACCAGACUUUUGCUUUGUUGUUUA